UACGGAGGAUGCGAGCGUUAUCCGGAUUUAUUGGGUUUAAAGGGUGCGUAGGCGGGAUGCCAAGUCAGCGGUAAAAAUGCGGUGCUCAACGCCGUCGAGCCGUUGAAACUGGCGUUCUUGAGUGGGCGAGAAGUGUGCGGAAUGCGUGGUGUAGCGGUGAAAUGCAUAGAUAUCACGCAGAACUCCGAUUGCGAAGGCAGCAUACCGGCGCCCUACUGACGCUGAGGCACGAAAGCGUGGGUAUCGAA
This 248-nucleotide ribosomal RNA is filed under the name uncultured bacterium. RNAcentral describes it as "partial 16S ribosomal RNA". It matches the Rfam family "Bacterial small subunit ribosomal RNA", at positions 524 to 772 of the family's 1533-position model. The record is from RNAcentral.